UAAGGUUACUUGUUUUAUAGUUUUAUGAAAUGACCCCUUGAUUCAGGCUUUUGAUACAUUAAGAUUUUAUAACGCACGAUAUGUGCAAGGAGGUUUCAUAUUAUGAAACAAGGUACUGUUAAAUGGUUCAACGCUGAUAAAGGUUACGGUUUUAUCACUACUGAAGAUGGUGACGUAUUCGUUCACUUCUCAGCUAUCAACAAAGAAGGUUUCAAGACUCUAGAAGAAGGCGAAAAGGUUACAUUGGACGUUGAAGACGGCGACCGUGGACCACAAGCUGCUAACGUUACUCCUGCAUAAGGAUAACCUCUUAGUUAACUUUUAGUUUAAAAAGAGAUCAAAAACACCCGAGAUUUUCUCGGGUGUUUUUUU
Molecule: small RNA, 372 nt
Filed under: Apilactobacillus kunkeei
Lineage: Bacteria; Bacillati; Bacillota; Bacilli; Lactobacillales; Lactobacillaceae
Description: cspA
Rfam family: cspA thermoregulator
Source: RNAcentral